GUAUUAAUACAUGUAUGUAAUUUGUAAAUAGCUGUAUUUAUAUCGGAGGUAUGUCCUCAAAAGCUUUUUAGUGCGAGGGGCGUAUGAUUAAAGAAGUGUGGAGAUCACUGCUCUAGAACAACACAUCUGAGCAAAAAUAGUCUGGGGCAGUGGAGAUUUACCCACAGCAAAGGAUGAUUUAGGGAUGUAGUCAGGAUGACUUACGCAAACCAGACAAGUUGAAGCCCAUGGGACUAGGUGGGAUGCACCCAAGGGUGCCGAAGGUGCCUUUUUGGGCUCUGCAUGACUCCCCAGAGCUUCCUGCUUUGGUCCCGCAGACACUGUCGGUGGCAGGGGAUUCCUCCCCACUUCUCCCUGCCCCUGGCGGCAGAGCUGAGCGUAUCGCCCUGUGCCGGACCCAGCAGGAACACGCUGUUCGGAUGCAGGCAGAAGCAAACACAGUGCCAGCUGAGGCCACGGCUGCCGAUGUUAUCUGUGCAAUGUCUUCAGCCGUCAUGCGUGUGGCCAGAGACAGGUUUGCUUGCUGCCUCUGAGGAGCUGUGCAAGCAUAAAAGCUUGGAGGUCCCCAUGGAGCGCAACGUCCUCACAGGUGUGCUGCAUGGGUGCCAGGUUGUGCUGGGCAAGAGGCCAGCUCUGAAGAUGAAGGUCAUGUUCCUGCUCUUGGAGCUGAUGCUUCUUUCAGUGCUGCAAGCCCAGGCAAAAAUCCCUCUGAAGGAAUAUUUUGAUGCAGAGAAGAGUUUCCAAGAGCUGGCCUCCAUCCUCCAACCUUGAACGGUGAUCAACUAAAAGUAGAAAAAUACAGUGGACAUGGAAACAUCUGCCGUGUGGCUGGAGACUACAGAGGUGAGACCAGAGGGGCUACUGUGCUCUGUGCCCACGCAGGAGAUGUCCAAGAUCUGCUCCUGCUGCUGACUCAGACUUAAGCCCUGAAGGAUGUGAGCAGAGGAUGACAGUCCUAAAAAGAAAUGAUCAAUCUAGUCAACACACAAACUCCUGCUUUUCAGGGUUUAGGAGCUCUGAUGAUGGUCUUGAGGAAAGAAGUGGCAUUUCUCACAACCACGGGGAAGAUGUCCCCAGCUGCAGGCUGCUAGAUACGGACUACAGCAACCACAUCCUCCUCAGUGACCGCGAGUACCAGGGGCGGAUCAUCUCAGUGCUGUUUCUCUACAGCAGGGAUGCUGAAGCGAAACCCCACAUGUUAGAGAAAUUCAGAGACACCAUGAGCCAGAUGGGGCUUUCUGAGGAGCAGAUGAUUGUGCUGCCCAAGACCGAGUGCACCCCGCCAUCCGAGUAGGUGACUUAGAGCUCCAACCAUCCCAUCCUGUUGCUGGGUGAGCCCCAGUGUCCUCCUGCCCACCCACCCCAAGCUGGGAGCACAGCCAGUCCCAGCACAACCAUGCACAAUCAGCUCAAAACUGAUCCCAGCCCAAAAGCACUGUUCUCCUGGGGAAAGGCUUAAAACCAUAUAAAAACUGGAAAAUACAA
This is an RNA transcript of Cygnus olor (mute swan), 1485 nucleotides long. It is a transcript of the gene named lipocalin-like, with no coding region annotated. The record is from RefSeq and is a predicted model, not a curated record. The transcript has 7 exons. NCBI's taxonomy places the organism in Eukaryota, Metazoa, Chordata, Aves, Anseriformes, Anatidae.